UCUUAUCUUAAAUUAUGAAGGUGACAUUCCUGAACUAGAGCUAUAUUUUGUUAUUAUAAACAAUGAAUAUGGAAAGCAAAUUGAAGAAGAGCUACUUCCUGGAGGAAAAAACCGUCGUGUCACCUGUGAAAAUGUCAUCACAUUCAUUCAUCUUGUUGCCAAUCAUCGUUUGAACUUUCAGCAUAGUUUGUCCCUUGUUUAUCCAAUGUGUCUCCCUACUCCAAUGUUGAUUGAAAACAUGUCCUCCUCAGAUACGACAGCAAAGUUCUCAUUUUUUGAGAGGGAUUCAGCAGCUUAUACAGAAAGAAUGGAUCAACAUGUUCAAUGAGCAUGAAUUCCAGCUUUCAAUAUCAGGUUCACUGGACAGCUUGGAUGUUGAUGACCUACGGACACAUACUACUUAUUCAAGUGGUUAUCAUAGGGAGCAUUAUGUCAUUGAGAUGUUUUGGGAAGUUAUCAAAAGUUUCUCAGUGGAAAACCAAAAGAAAUUUCUGAAAGACUGGCAGAUGGUUUAAGUAGCUUUAAAACAAGUAGAAUAAAUCUUAUUGAUUUACCUGGUUCCGGAGGCAGAAGCUAACAGGUGCAGCUGGGGAGCGCUUGAAGGAAGCACGCAAUAUCAACCGAUCACUCUCACAACUCGGAUCGGAAUGAUGUUGCUCAUCUGAAAGAAGGCAGCAUCAUGUGCUUGAAGACUUGU
Molecule: RNA transcript, 697 nt
Organism: Cucumis sativus (cucumber)
Lineage: Eukaryota; Viridiplantae; Streptophyta; Magnoliopsida; Cucurbitales; Cucurbitaceae
Gene name: E3 ubiquitin-protein ligase UPL6-like
Exons: 5
Source: RefSeq, a predicted model, not a curated record